This 460-nucleotide ribosomal RNA is filed under the name uncultured bacterium. RNAcentral describes it as "partial 16S ribosomal RNA". It matches the Rfam family "Bacterial small subunit ribosomal RNA", at positions 338 to 795 of the family's 1533-position model. The record is from RNAcentral.
CCUACGGGAGGCAGCAGUGAGGAAUAUUGGUCAAUGGGCGCGAGCCUGAACCAGCCAAGUAGCGUGAAGGAUGACUGCCCUACGGGUUGUAAACUUCUUUUACAUGGGAAUAAAAUGUUCCACGUGUGGGAUUUUGUAUGUACCAUAUGAAUAAGGAUCGGCUAACUCCGUGCCAGCAGCCGCGGUAAUACGGAGGGUCCGAGCGUUAGCCGGAUUUAUUGGGUUUAAAGGGAGCGUAGGUGGAGUGUUGAGUCAGUUGUGAAAGUUUGCGGCUCAACCGUAGAAUUGCAGUUGAAACUGGCAGUCUUGAGUACAGGAGAGGUGGGCGGAAUUCGUGGUGUAGCGGUGAAAUGCUUAGAUAUCACGAAGAACUCCGAUUGCGAAGGCAGCUCACUGGACUGCAACUGACACUGAGGCUCGAAAGUGUGGGUAUCAAACAGGAGUAGAUACCCCUGUAGUC